RNAcentral lists this transfer RNA (72 nucleotides) under Bos taurus (domestic cattle). It matches the Rfam family "tRNA". From Rfam's summary of the family: Transfer RNA (tRNA) molecules are approximately 80 nucleotides in length. Lineage: Eukaryota; Metazoa; Chordata; Mammalia; Artiodactyla; Bovidae. The record is from Rfam by way of RNAcentral. RNAcentral also lists the same sequence under 4 other names.
UCCCUGGUAGCUCAGUUGGUAGAGAAACUGCCUGCAAUGCAGGAAACCUGGGUUUGAUUCCUGGGUUGGGAA